Molecule: long non-coding RNA, 634 nt
Organism: Oreochromis niloticus (Nile tilapia)
Lineage: Eukaryota; Metazoa; Chordata; Actinopteri; Cichliformes; Cichlidae
Exons: 2
Source: RefSeq, a predicted model, not a curated record
GAGAGAAACUCCGUGAUGAAGCUGGAACUCUUUCCAAACACAGGAAACAGAUCAGGGAGCAGAGACCCACGUGGUUCACGCUGAUCUCAGCUACGAUCCAGGAGACAAGGGUGGGCAGAUCGAUGCAGAUAUCAAUCCAAACGUUGGUACUACUUUAUUCUCUUCGGAUGGAAGAGGAUAUCCAUCCGACGCCUCCACCAUUGACUGUAGAAAACAUGGACGACGCGACUCCGCCUCCUACCAUUGUGCAAAAAUGAAGCCAAAAUAUCCCGCCAGAGUCUGCGCAGUAGUGACUUGAGGUGGAGCGACUGUGUAACUCUCGGCCCACACACCAGCUGGACAUGACCGCAAACACGCCCCCCUACACUUUUUACGUAGCCCGGCUGCUCGAGGUUUUUUGCUGGUUUACCGCGACUGACGACUCGUUUAAUUAAGCUACAUUCACCCUGGAGAGAAACUAGUGAGGGAGACCAUCAGGACCAAGCUGGGUUUCCUGGGUCCAGAGGUUUGGAGAAACUUCUUCCUUUUCUUUCAUCACAGCUGUCCUGUGCCAGAUGUUCUGUUGACCGACUGAGAGAGACUUCAUUUAAGAAACGCCAGGAAGACUGAAGCUCAUCGCAUUGAUCAAACAGGA